GAUGAAGAACGUAGCAAAAUGCGAUACUUGGUGUGAAUUGCAGAAUCCCGUGAACCAUCGAGUUUUUGAACGCAAGUUGCGCCCGAAGCCUUUUGGCCGAGGGCACAUCUGCCUGGGCGUCACGCAUCGCGUCGCCCCCCCACAAUUCUCCGUAAAGGGAACAUGUGUUUUGGGGGCGGAUAUUGGUCUCCCGUGCUCAUGGCGUGGUUGGCCGAAAUAGGAGUCCUUUCGAUGGACGCACGAACUAGUGGUGGUCGUAAAAACCCUCGUCUUUUGUUUCGUGCUGUUGCUCGCAAGGUAAACUCUUUAAAAACCCCAAUGCGUCGUCUCUUGACGACGCUUCGACCGCGACCCCAGGUCAGGCGGGACUACCCGCUGAGUUUAAGCAUAUCAAUAAGCGGAGGA
RNAcentral lists this unclassified non-coding RNA (405 nucleotides) under soil metagenome. RNAcentral describes it as "partial contains 5.8S ribosomal RNA, internal transcribed spacer 2, and large subunit ribosomal RNA". The stretch from base 1 to 122 matches the Rfam family "5.8S ribosomal RNA", at positions 35 to 154 of the family's 154-position model. The record is from RNAcentral.